UAACGAAUAUUGGGCAAUGGGCGCAAGCCUGACCCAGCAAUGCCGCGUGCGGGAUGAAGUCCCUCGGGAUGUAAACCGCUGUCAGGGGCUCGCAAGCAAUCGGAGUGAACAAUUCCGAAAGUUGAGCAGCCCCAGAGGAAGUCUCGGCUAACUCUGUGCCAGCAGCCGCGGUAAUACAGAGGAGGCAAGCGUUGUUCGGAAUCACUGGGCUUAAAGCGCGCGUAGGCUGCCUGGUAAGUGCUUCGUGAAA
RNAcentral lists this ribosomal RNA (250 nucleotides) under uncultured bacterium. Its description in RNAcentral is "partial 16S ribosomal RNA". It matches the Rfam family "Bacterial small subunit ribosomal RNA", at positions 355 to 599 of the family's 1533-position model. The record is from RNAcentral.